This 441-nucleotide ribosomal RNA is filed under the name uncultured bacterium. RNAcentral's name for it is "partial 16S ribosomal RNA". It matches the Rfam family "Bacterial small subunit ribosomal RNA", at positions 338 to 795 of the family's 1533-position model. The record is from RNAcentral.
CCUACGGGAGGCAGCAGUGGGGAAUAUUGGGCAAUGGGCGCAAGCCUGACCCAGCAACGCCGCGUGAGUGAAGAAGUAUUUCGGUAUGUAAAGCUCUAUCAGCAGGGAAGAAAAAAGACGGUACCUGACUAAGAAGCCCCGGCUAACUACGUGCCAGCAGCCGCGGUAAUACGUAGGGGGCAAGCGUUAUCCGGAUUUACUGGGUGUAAAGGGAGCGUAGACGGCAAUACAAGUCGGAAGUGAAAUACCCGGGCUCAACCUGGGAACUGCUUUGGAAACUGUAUGGCUAGAGUGCUGGAGAGGUAAGCGGAAUUCCUAGUGUAGCGGUGAAAUGCGUAGAUAUUAGGAGGAACACCAGUGGCGAAGGCGGCUUACUGGACAGUAACUGACGUUGAGGCUCGAAAGCGUGGGGAGCAAACAGGAUUAGAUACCCCGGUAGUC